GUCGAACGAAGUAGCAAUACUUAGUGGCAGACGGGUGAGUAACAUGUAGGUAUCUACCCUUUGGCCUGGAAUAACACGAGGAAACUUGUGCUAAUACCGGAUAAGUCUUUACGGAGAAAGCUUUAUGCACCAUUGGAUGAGCCUGCACUUGAUUAGUUUGUUGGUGGGGUAAUGGCUUACCAAGACAAUGAUCAAUAGCUGAUUUGAGAGGAUGAUCAGCCACAUUGGGACUGAGACACGGCCCAAACUCCUACGGGAGGCAGCAGUAGGGAAUCUUGCACAAUGGAGGAAACUCUGAUGCAGCGAUGCCGCGUGAGUGAAGAAGGCCUUUGGGUUGUAAAGCUCUUUCGUCGGGGAAGAAAAUGACUGUACCCGAAUAAGAAGGUCCGGCUAACUUCGUGCCAGCAGCCGCGGUAAUACGAAGGGACCUAGCGUAGUUCGGAAUUACUGGGCUUAAAGAGUUCGUAGGUGGUUAAAAAAGUUGGUGGUGAAAUCCCAGAGCUUAACUCUGGAACUGCCAUCAAAACUUUUUAGCUAGAGUAUGAUAGAGGAAAGCAGAAUUUCUAGUGUAGAGGUGAAAUUCGUAGAUAUUAGAAAGAAUACCGAUUGCGAAGGCAGCUUUCUGGAUCAUUACUGACACUGAGGAACGAAAGCAUGGGUAGCGAAGAGGAUUAGAUACCCUCGUAGUCCAUGCCGUAAACGAUGUGUGUUAGACGUUGGAAAUUUAUUUUCAGUGUCGCAGCGAAAGCGAUAAACACACCGCCUGGGGAGUACGACCGCAAGGUUAAAACUCAAAUGAAUUGACGGGGACCCGCACAAGUAGUGGAGCAUGUGGUUUAAUUCGAAGAUACGCGCAGAACCUUACCAACACUUGACAUGUUCGUCGCGACUCU
Molecule: ribosomal RNA, 893 nt
Filed under: uncultured bacterium
Lineage: Bacteria
Description: bacterial SSU rRNA
Rfam family: Bacterial small subunit ribosomal RNA
Source: RNAcentral